Molecule: long non-coding RNA, 662 nt
Organism: Cannabis sativa
Lineage: Eukaryota; Viridiplantae; Streptophyta; Magnoliopsida; Rosales; Cannabaceae
Exons: 3
Source: RefSeq, a predicted model, not a curated record
CCAACACAACAAAAUGUGAAAACCCUAAAAUUAAAAAACGCAAAAUCCUCAGCCUUCUCUCGCGUGCUACUCUUCAGACGCUUCAGCCUCUUUCUCUCAUGUGAUUCUCUUCAGCCGCAUCUCUCUUCGGUGGUCUGUGGUCUCUCUUCAGACGACGGCGAGGAGAUAUAUCGGAUGCAAAGAUCUUAAGGUUUGUAGAGAAUUUUUGGUUGCUGACAAGUGAUAAAAGAAAACUUAAUAGUGACUAAAUCUUUUAACUUACUAGAGAGCCUUCUCUUCUAUUUUCGUUCGCUUUCCACUACUGCUUUAACCUCACACAUAUAUGUUUGUCACCGACUCAAGGACCCCAGACCGUGCCUCUCUUUCUUUCAAGUCAGACGCUCCAUAUAGUAACGAAGGGAUCAAUGCAGUACGGGAUGAGUGGGUCGAAUUUGUGAAGCCUUUGAUUAUGGAUUUAGUACAAGGUUACUACUUUUGUUAUAAUACAUGAGUAAAAAGUUUUAUGAUUAUUGUUAUAUUUUGCAUAUAUGUAAUUAGUUUAUAUUUAGUUUACGAUAUACAUGAAAUUUAACUUUUAGGAUCGAUUCUAUUAACAAUUUUGGUAUUGUGGGAUUAGUUAAUAGAAUCGAUUACUAAUUUAUGUGAGUUUUAAAAAUGUUAUU